RNAcentral lists this ribosomal RNA (508 nucleotides) under uncultured bacterium. Its description in RNAcentral is "bacterial SSU rRNA". It matches the Rfam family "Bacterial small subunit ribosomal RNA", at positions 28 to 507 of the family's 1533-position model. The record is from RNAcentral.
GAUGAACGCUAGCGACAGGCCUAACACAUGCAAGUCGAGGGGCAUCGGGACGUAGCAAUACGGUUGCCGGCGACCGGCGGAUGGGUGAGUAACGCGUAUGCAACCUACCCGUAGCAGGGGGAUAGCCCGUUGAAAGACGGAUUAAUACCCCGUAACACAGGGGCUCCGCAUGGAGAUUAUUGUUAAAGGGUCAUUUCUUUUAGAGGUGGUCCGGCUGCGGAUGGGGCAUGCGUUCCAUUAGGUAGUUGGUGUAGGUAACGGCUCACCAAGCCGACGAUGGAUAGGGGAACUGAGAGGUUGGUCCCCCACACUGGUACUGAGACACGGACCAGACUCCUACGGGAGGCAGCAGUGAGGAAUCUUGGUCAAUGGACGCAAGUCUGAACCAGCCAUGUCGCGUGAAGGAGGACGGCCCUAAGGGUUGUAAACUUCUUUUGCAGCGGAAUAAAGUUUGCCACGAGUUGGCGAUUUGCAAGUACGCUGCGAAUAAGGAUCGGCUAACUCCGUG